UGACGUUCGUUCCUCUCUCUGCUCAGAGUUCCACAGGGAGAUUUUAGAACGUCACAGACAAACGGGUCUCUUCGCCCAGUCGCCCUCUCACCACAGGGCGCCUGGUUUUGCGGGAUCCUACAAAC
Molecule: small nucleolar RNA, 125 nt
Organism: Boleophthalmus pectinirostris (great blue-spotted mudskipper)
Lineage: Eukaryota; Metazoa; Chordata; Actinopteri; Gobiiformes; Gobiidae
Product: small nucleolar RNA SNORA79
Exons: 1
Source: RefSeq, a predicted model, not a curated record